This is a long non-coding RNA of Pyrus x bretschneideri (Chinese white pear), 744 nucleotides long. RefSeq lists it as uncharacterized. The record is from RefSeq and is a predicted model, not a curated record. NCBI's taxonomy places the organism in Eukaryota, Viridiplantae, Streptophyta, Magnoliopsida, Rosales, Rosaceae. The transcript is spliced from 5 exons.
CCCCCCCCCCCCCACACACACACACACACGCGCGCGGACGGUCCAUAUCUCUUAUGCUAAUUAAUUUUGGGUUGCUGGGUUUUUCUUCAGUGGCCUCGGGGUCUGCUUUUUUGCGGCCCUCCCGGCACCGGAAAGAGAAGCUUGGUACGAGCAGUGGUUAGGGAAUGUGGUAUAGCACAUUUAAUUGUCAUUAGUCCACAUUCUGUCCACAAAGCACAUGCCGGAGAAAGUGAGAAUUUUGAGGGGAGAUUUUUGCGAAGGCUUCCUCGCAUACAUUGUCAGGCAAGCCAUCUGUUAUCUUUAUAGAUGAAAUAGAUGCACUCUGUCCUCGCAGUGAUUCUAGAAGAGAACAAGAUGUUCGUAGCGCCUUGCAACUCUUUACGUUGAUGGACUCUAGACAUCCCCAACAUCAGUACCACGGGUUGUGGUUGUUGCACCACUAACAGGAAACUAGACAUGUAGUGUAUAUAUUCCAAGACUCUUGAUAACAAAUGCGUUUAACAGGUUUAACGUUAGCGCCACUUGUGAAGGUAGAUCCAAACCUAAAUGUAGUUGUGCCUGCAUUUCUCUGUUAGACUGAGUCGUGUUUCCUCUUCCAUUACAAACUCUUAAGUUUGUUCACGAAGUCAAUGGUCUUUUCUAAUAAGCUUUUCUGUUUUAUUUAUUUGUUUUUCAAGGGUAUGUUUGUAAUCAGUUUGGUUGUACCGUGUAAUCAGGUUGUGAAUUUUUGAAAUUUUGAAUUGA